GUCAGGAUGGCCGAGUGGUCUAAGGCGCCAGACUCAAGGAUAUCAAUCCUUCCUGCGCAAAGGGUCUUCUGGUCUCCGUAUGGAGGCGUGGGUUCGAAUCCCACUUCUGACA
Molecule: transfer RNA, 112 nt
Filed under: Albula glossodonta (roundjaw bonefish)
Lineage: Eukaryota; Metazoa; Chordata; Actinopteri; Albuliformes; Albulidae
Rfam family: tRNA
About the family: Transfer RNA (tRNA) molecules are approximately 80 nucleotides in length.
Source: Rfam by way of RNAcentral